Molecule: long non-coding RNA, 223 nt
Filed under: Solanum tuberosum (potato)
Lineage: Eukaryota; Viridiplantae; Streptophyta; Magnoliopsida; Solanales; Solanaceae
Description: long non-coding RNA (STUB_LNC005111)
Source: RNAcentral
CUCCUUGUAUUCCGAGUGAAUUGAUUGAGGUUGUUUCUCUCUAUAUUUUGUACUCUCAUAUUUAUAGUGGAUUGCUCAUCUCCUUUGUGGACGUAGGUCGAUUGACCGAACCACGUUAAAUCUGUCUCUUUUGGUGUGUUUCUCGUUUGUCUUCUUACUCGUGGUCUUUCGAGGUUUGCUUUGCUAGCUUCCGCAUUACACCUGCUUAUUUCGAUCCUAACAA